GACGAACGCUGGCGGCGUGCUUAACACAUGCAAGUCGAACGGAAAGGCCCUGCUUUUGUGGGGUGCUCGAGUGGCGAACGGGUGAGUAACACGUGAGUAACCUGCCCUUGACUUUGGGAUAACUUCAGGAAACUGGGGCUAAUACCGGAUAGGAGCUCCUGCUGCAUGGUGGGGGUUGGAAAGUUUCGGCGGUUGGGGAUGGACUCGCGGCUUAUCAGCUUGUUGGUGGGGUAGUGGCUUACCAAGGCUUUGACGGGUAGCCGGCCUGAGAGGGUGACCGGCCACAUUGGGACUGGGAUACGGCCCAGACUCCUACGGGAGGCAGCAGUGGGGAAUAUUGCACAAUGGGCGGAAGCCUGAUGCAGCAACGCCGCGUGCGGGAUGACGGCCUUCGGGUUGUAAACCGCUUUCGCCUGUGACGAAGCGUGAGUUACGGUAAUGGGUAAAGAAGCACCGGCUAACUACGUG
This 468-nucleotide ribosomal RNA is filed under the name uncultured bacterium. RNAcentral's name for it is "partial 16S ribosomal RNA". It matches the Rfam family "Bacterial small subunit ribosomal RNA", at positions 28 to 507 of the family's 1533-position model. The record is from RNAcentral.